GCACUGCUGACGAGUCCCAGACAGGACAAAACAGCUGUUCAGUGC
RNAcentral lists this non-coding RNA (45 nucleotides) under Echinostoma caproni. The record is from RNAcentral. Lineage: Eukaryota; Metazoa; Platyhelminthes; Trematoda; Plagiorchiida; Echinostomatidae.